RNAcentral lists this ribosomal RNA (513 nucleotides) under uncultured bacterium. RNAcentral describes it as "bacterial SSU rRNA". It matches the Rfam family "Bacterial small subunit ribosomal RNA", at positions 15 to 518 of the family's 1533-position model. The record is from RNAcentral.
GAUUCUGGCUCAGGAUGAACGCUAGCUACAGGCUUAACACAUGCAAGUCGAGGGGCAGCAUGGACCAAGCUUGCUUGGUCUGAUGGCGACCGGCGCACGGGUGAGUAACGCGUAUCCAACCUUCCCCCUGGUAGGGCAUAGCCCGGCGAAAGUCGGAUUAAUACCCUAUGUUCUCCUUUGAUGGCAUCUGAUGAGGAGCAAAGAUUUAUCGCCAUGGGAUGGGGAUGCGUCCGAUUAGGUUGACGGCGGGGUGACGGCCCACCGUGCCCGCGAUCGGUAGGGUUCUGAGAGGAAGGUCCCCCACAUUGGAACUGAGACACGGUCCAAACUCCUACGGGAGGCAGCAGUGAGGAAUAUUGGUCAAUGGGCGUGAGCCUGAACCAGCCAAGUAGCGUGCGGGACGACGGCCCUAUGGGUUGUAAACCGCUUUUGCAGGGGAAUAAAGUGCGGCACGCGUGCCGUUUUGCAGGUACCGCAUGAAUAAGGACCGGCUAAUUCCGUGCCAGCCGCUGC